This 23-nucleotide non-coding RNA is filed under the name Arabidopsis thaliana (thale cress). Lineage: Eukaryota; Viridiplantae; Streptophyta; Magnoliopsida; Brassicales; Brassicaceae. The record is from RNAcentral.
AAUUAACAAGUGCGGUCGCAAUA